This 1759-nucleotide long non-coding RNA is filed under the name Marmota monax (woodchuck). The record is from RNAcentral. Lineage: Eukaryota; Metazoa; Chordata; Mammalia; Rodentia; Sciuridae.
CCUGCCUGGGCUUUUUCCUCCCCUGCUGGCUUCACACACCAGGGAGCUCUGUGCUCCGAACCUGAAUCUGGCCCUUCUCCAUGGCCCUCCUCAGGCCAGUGGGACGCUGAGUCUGCAGCCAAGUGUGCUGGGGCGGGGGGGGGGUGUCGCCCUCCGUGUUUGAUGUGCCCUCUGUGUUGGGGGCAGGGGAUGGAGUACAGGUGCCCAGUUGCAUGGCCCAGGUCUGGUAGGGGCCUGCUCCCCACCUCUGUCCCUGGGCAGCACACUGGAACUGUCUGACAGCAUGAGGGCAAUGGUGUGUCAACGGCUGGAACCCAAAGUCUCCUCCUUGACAGGAGUCCCCAGGGCAGGAUGAAGCCACUUAAGGCCAUGCCUGAUUCCCCAGCACUGAGGUGCCUCCAACCCACACAGCCCUGCAAAGGCUGCUGACUGCACCUCUGGGACGCUGAGGCCCUGGGGGCUGGGCUUGGCACGGGCUGACGGAAGCCGGGCACCACACAGGGGACGUUCUUGUGCAGCCCAGCGGGGCUUUGAUGCCGCAACCACACCCUUUCCUUCUGUUGGGGUUGUUUCUAGGCUCUUGUUUAGAAACCCUAGCAAACUGACUUCCGUUCCAGUUCCCCAUGAUCUGCACCCUGCCCAAGUGCUGCCCUCACUUAUCAGAGGCCAGGGUCCUCUUCUCAUUUUCUGGAUGGCUCCAUAGUUCUAGAAGUUAGAACCAGCUAUGUUCUGGAAAGCUGAUCUCUGUGUCCACCAGGCAGACCUGCGUGCUCUGAGCCGCAGCCUGGGGCCUCUGGCUGCUCACAGCUGGCAGAAUGAGAGGAGUCGGGCCCCGAAUGGACUCACUAGGACCGAGCUGCUGCUCAGGUGCCGCUGAGGAGCCGGCCAGAGGGCGACGUGGGGCAGGGUGGGGUCCAGGUGGGAGCACUGGCACGUCAUGUGUCGUCCUGGCAGAGACCUGGGGAACCAAGGAGCAGGUGGGCCAGGAGUCCAGUGAUGGCAGCAGAGGCCAAGGCUGCCAGGGACAAGCCAAGGCAGGCAGAGGAGUGCUCCACAGGAACGGAAGCCCCAGCCCUGUCCCAGGGGAUGUGGUCACUGGGCCUGUGGCCGAGGGUCCUGGCCAUGGCUGAGAGGGUCUGGCUCGUGAAGAAGGAAAGGCAGGCAUUGCUUUUCCUUCUUCAAAACAGUUCCAGGGGUCCCCCAAGGCCUGGAAGGAAACAGGUGGCCUGUGUGCCGGUCAGGUGGGGCCAGGGACAAGAGAGUAGGACACUUUUUUUUUUAGAAAGAGGCUGAAGAGGUCAUUGCUGACACAGGGACUCGAGGCUGUGAAGGGGCAUGACCCUGGAGGGGCCGCUGGCUGGAGGAGGGAGCAUGUCCAGGAAAGGGUCUUUUUUGGAUUAUCCAACCAUCUGGACAACUCAGGGCUGUGCUGGGGACUUGCGGAAACUCAAUGGCUACUGGGGGAUCAGCUGCCCAGUUUAGGGAGCAGAGGCUGCCGUUCCUCCAGAGAUGAGGGGUCCCCCAAGGAGAGCUCCACACUGCUGCAGGCUUGGUGUCUACUCUCCGUGAAGCAGUUCCUCUCAGCUGCCCAAGAGGACUGUGACGUGUGCAGGGAGACCUCGGAAAGAAAGGCAGGGCCAGGGCCAACCAGCACAACGCAGGAAGGCCCACACACCCCAGAAUGGAGGGUCCAGGCGAGGAACUGUCACAGGGGUCUGGGGGUGUGGAGCCAGGCCCUGACCUGAGCCUUGAGGCCCCC